GAUGAACGCUAGCGGCAGGCCUAACACAUGCAAGUCGAGGGAGAAGCCCUUUCGGGGGCAGAAACCGGCGCACGGGUGCGUAACGCGUAUGCAACCUACCUUUCACAGGGGGAUAGCCCGAAGAAAUUUGGAUUAAUACCCCAUAAUAUUAUUGGAUGGCAUCAUUUGAUAAUUAAAACUGCGGUGGUGAAAGAUGGGCAUGCGUCCUAUUAGCUAGUUGGAGUGGUAACGGCACCCCAAGGCUACGAUAGGUAGGGGUCCUGAGAGGGAGAUCCCCCACACUGGUACUGAGACAGGGACCAGACUCCUACGGGAGGCAGCAGUGAGGAAUAUUGGUCAAUGGUCGGAAGACUGAACCAGCCAUGCCGCGUGCAGGAAGAAUGCCUUAUGGGUUGUAAACUGCUUUUAUAUGGGAAGAAUAAGGCGUACGUGUACGUUGAUGACGGUACCAUAUGAAUAAGCAUCGGCCAACUCCGUG
RNAcentral lists this ribosomal RNA (478 nucleotides) under uncultured bacterium. RNAcentral's name for it is "partial 16S ribosomal RNA". It matches the Rfam family "Bacterial small subunit ribosomal RNA", at positions 28 to 507 of the family's 1533-position model. The record is from RNAcentral.